Neltuma alba is the source of this 1040-nucleotide long non-coding RNA. RefSeq lists it as uncharacterized. The record is from RefSeq and is a predicted model, not a curated record. Lineage: Eukaryota; Viridiplantae; Streptophyta; Magnoliopsida; Fabales; Fabaceae. The transcript is spliced from 6 exons.
ACUUAAUGGGGCAAUGGGUCUGCAAAUCCUGGGCCCUGAGACAAUGAUGGAAAUAUUACAGGCCACUGAUGUUACACGAACUGAAGUUGAGAAAGACGGAGGUUAUACUCAAUGCUCCAGACAUCAUGAUCAGUUCGUUGUUGAAGAAGAUGAGUCCAUACUCCCAAGAUCAAAAGUUAAAAGAUGGCAAAAAUCAAGAGAUGAAUCUAAUAUUGAUUUAGAAGGCUGUAGCCAUUGGGAGUGGAUGUAACUUUUGGCAUUCCCCUGAGCGUCUAUUUCAGAAUUGGUGCUAAGGUUUUGUGUAUACAAGUUGGCGAAAUCUCAUCUUAGAGGCAUUCAAGAAGCAAGAGCUAGAUACAAGGAGCAAUUCUUCAAAAACCAUCUCCUUGCUGAAGGACGGAUGUAAAAUCAAUGAGGCCCAUACAGAUAUAGCAAAUAGAAAUGUUGAAAGAUGGCAAAAAUCUAGAGAUGAAGUUGAUAUUGAUUCAACGUUCCCAGUGACAUUGAGAAUACAGAAGGCAGCUUUGGUCACCCAAAAAAAAAAAAAAAACAGAAUAUAAAAGGCUGCAGCUGUUGGGAGUGGAUGUCAAAACUCUUGGCAUUCUCUUGAGCAUCUAUUUUAGAUUUGACAACAAUGUGAUAAAGAAAAGAACGAAAGAAACGCAAUCAUGGAACGCAGAGUGGACGAGGGCCUGCAAGCAGAGGGGGUGGCUGGCAAAGAGAGGGUACAGAUCGCGAAGGGCUUGGGAUCGACAAAGGAGGUCGCGAGAAGGGUAUAGAUCUUCAAAGGAAAAGAAGGGUUGGCGAUGAUUGUGUAUUGCGUUUUUGUUCUCUCUCUCGUUGGGGAAUUGGUUGUUGGGCAUCAUAGACUAUGAUUUUCUUGUUGAUUUUAAUUUCUGGGCAUCAUAGAGUACGAUGUUGUUGGAAUCAAUUUUGCCUCUGGCUGUGAAUAACUUUACCCAUUCUGCUUAUGGUUCUGCAUACGACAGGAGGUCUUAUUAUCUGGCCUAAAAAAUGGCUCGCUCACCCAGGUGUCAGGG